CACCGAUUUUGUCUACGGAAUGAUCACCUGGCAACUACAUAUUAUACAGUAGUAAUCGAAACUGGGUUGAUGACGUAUUGAAGUCAGAUCAAAUCAUUAUCAAAUUCAUUUUUAUUCACAUCCUCACAUAAAUAUUUUACAUUGUUGAGCCCGACUAUGGCCCGAAUAUGUCAAUAGACAAUACAAAUAUCAACACAUAAUCUCCAUACAAAUAUAUCAAAGUAAUCAGUGCAGAAAAAAACUGACCGCUUUCCUGUAAAAGCGUGGAGCAAUGGAGAUUGUAAGGCAUGUUUUCCCACACGGACCACUCUGAUAUAAAUAUAGGCCUUAGUCAGCCUCCCUGUGCAACAACCAUAGGCCAGGGUUCGAGAAUGGAAUUUUUUACUGGUAUCCAUUAUGGAUACCAGCAUUUCAAACUUGGUAUCCAAAUUCAAAACUCGGUAUCCAAAUAUAAGAAUAUGGUAAAAUCAUGACAUCGAAUGUUGAGAACUUCGAAACACAUACACACACACAAGCCAUAUUUGAUUAGGUAUUCUUUACUUUUAGUUCACUGCAG
Molecule: non-coding RNA, 556 nt
Organism: Paramuricea clavata
Lineage: Eukaryota; Metazoa; Cnidaria; Anthozoa; Malacalcyonacea; Plexauridae
Source: the annotation of a GenBank genome assembly